Molecule: ribosomal RNA, 497 nt
Filed under: uncultured bacterium
Lineage: Bacteria
Description: partial 16S ribosomal RNA
Rfam family: Bacterial small subunit ribosomal RNA
Source: RNAcentral
GAUGAACGCUGGCGGCGUGCCUAAUACAUGCAAGUCGAGCGAACAGACGAGGAGCUUGCUCCUCUGACGUUAGCGGCGGACGGGUGAGUAACACGUGGAUAACCUACCUAUAAGACUGGGAUAACUUCGGGAAACCGGAGCUAAUACCGGAUAAUAUAUUGAACCGCAUGGUUCAAUAGUGAAAGACGGUUUUGCUGUCACUUAUAGAUGGAUCCGCGCCGCAUUAGCUAGUUGGUAAGGUAACGACUUACCAAGGCAACGAUGCGUAGCCGACCUGAGAGGGUGAUCGGCCACACUGGAACUGAGACACGGUCCAGACUCCUACGGGAGGCAGCAGUAGGGAAGCUUCCGCAAUGGGCGAAAGCCUGACGGAGCAACGCCGCGUGAGUGAUGAAGGUCUUCGGAUCGUAAAACUCUGUUAUUAGGGAAGAACAAAUGUGUAAGUAACUAUGCACGUCUUGACGGUACCUAAUCAGAAAGCCACGGCUAACUACGUG